This 331-nucleotide unclassified non-coding RNA is filed under the name fungal sp. RNAcentral describes it as "partial internal transcribed spacer region". The stretch from base 1 to 46 matches the Rfam family "Eukaryotic small subunit ribosomal RNA", at positions 1786 to 1831 of the family's 1831-position model. Lineage: Eukaryota; Fungi. The record is from RNAcentral.
AAGUCGUAACAAGGUCUCCGUAGGUGAACCUGCGGAGGGAUCAUUAACACGUACAUCCACGUCAACACCCGCGAACUUGUCUUGUUCCGCAUUGGGCAUCCAGAUGAAGGCUGGCAGGAAAGCGGCCAUUCUCUCCCUCGGGGGGCGUGUCCUGCCAGUCCGGACCGGGAUCUCGAUGUGUCGAGCCGUGUUUCGUACCAAAACCUUUUUAACCCAUUGUAACCACACAACUGUGUACUAACUCUAAACCUAUCGAGCUUGGCUAACGCCUUGCUCCAACAAACAAACAAAACGAAUCGUACAACUCUUAGCAACGGAUAUCUUGGUUCUC